GCGACCGCCCCGCCGGGAGGCCCUGCACGCACGCGCCGCCGGCCGGGCCAGAGUAUGUUCUCCAGUUACCAAGGGAGAUGGAGGGACAGGAACCUGAGAGGAAGCCUGCCUGGAAGAAGGGGGCUGCUGGUCCUCAGUCCCUUGUGAAUGCCCAGCCUCUAGUGGUGGGAUUAAGAAUGCAGCCUCUGCCCUCCAACCUUAGGUCAAGACGCUCAACCAGAGUCUCCCUCCACAGAGUACCAUCAUGGCAUUUCCCAGCACAGAGCACAGGACAGCUGGGACAAUCCUUGUGGGACAAAUGGACGAUGGACAGAAGCAUCUGCUUCCAACAGGAGGGUCUCAACCAUCCCCUUAGAACCUAUGCCCCCUUUGGAUAGUAUUUUAUGACAUCCCCCAUUCCACUACCAUGAAAUGAAAAUCAUAGCAUAAUCUGCCUACACACAUAAUUGCAAAAAAUAAAUGCAUGCAUAGGUUCACCAAAAGACACGUACAAGAAUGUUCACAGCAUCAUUAUUCAUAAUGGCCAGACACUAGAAACAACACAAAUGGAUAUGGUAUGUCCACAUGAUGAAAACGAACAAACUUCUGCCAGGCACGGUGGGCACAGUGGCUCAUGCCUGUAAUCCCAGCAUUCUGAGAGGCCAAGGCGGGCAGAUCACUUGAGGUUAGGAGUUUGAGACCAGCCUGGUCAACAUAGUGAGACCCCGUCUCUACUAAAAAUUCAAAAAUUAGCGGGGCAUGGUGGCGGAUGCCUGUAGUCCCAGCUACUCGGGAGGCUGUGGCAGGAGAAUCGCUUGAACCUGGGAGGCGGAGGUGGCAGGGAGACGAGAUCGCGCCACUGCACUCCAGCCUGGGAGACAGUGAGACUCUGUCUCAAAAAAAAAAAGAAAAUGAACAAACUUCCAAUUCACACAACAACAUGGAUGAAUCUCACAAAUACGAUUUUGGCUGAAAGAAGUCAGACAUGAAAAAAGCAUGCAUGUAUGUUUCCAUUAUAUCAAGUUCAAAGGUAGGCAAAAUUAAUUUAAGGUGUUAGAAGUAAGGAGAGUAGUUACCUAGAGGAGUUGUGACUGGGUGGCACCAUGAGUUGGACUUCCAGGGUAUUGAGAGUGUUCUGGUUAUGAAGGUGUGUUCAUUUUGCAAAAAUUCAUAGAGGUGUACUCAUAAGAUUUGUCCACUUUUUUGAAGUAUGUAGUUAUUCAAUAAAAAGUUUACUUAAAAAAAAACAAUCAAUCAAUACAAUGCCCUAACUGUAAUAUAAAAAAGAAAAGGCCGCUUGCACCUAGAGUCAAUUCAUAGCAAUUACAAAUGCAGACA
This 1317-nucleotide long non-coding RNA is filed under the name Homo sapiens (human). RNAcentral's name for it is "non-protein coding lnc-CCDC177-6:5". The record is from RNAcentral. Lineage: Eukaryota; Metazoa; Chordata; Mammalia; Primates; Hominidae.